GUGAGGAAUAUUGGUCAAUGGACGUAAGUCUGAACCAGCCAAGUAGCGUGCAGGAUGACUGCCCUAUGGGUUGUAAACUGCUUUUAUGCGGGGAUAAAGUCAGCCACGUGUGGUUGUUUGCAGGUACCGCAUGAAUAAGGACCGGCUAAUUCCGUGCCAGCAGCCGCGGUAAUACGGAAGGUCCAGGCGUUAUCCGGAUUUAUUGGGUUUAAAGGGAGCGUAGGCUGUUGGUUAAGCGUGUUGUGAAAUGUAGAUGCUCAACAUCUGAAUUGCAGCGCGAACUGUCCGACUUGAGUGCGCGGAAAGCAGGCGGAAUUCGUUGUGUAGCGGUGAAAUGCUUAGAUAUGACGAAGAACUCCGAUUGCGAAGGCAGCUUGCUGUAGCGUAACUGACGCUGAAGCUCGAAAGUGCGGGUAUCGAACAGGAUUAGAAACCCUGGUAGUCC
Molecule: ribosomal RNA, 445 nt
Filed under: uncultured bacterium
Lineage: Bacteria
Description: bacterial SSU rRNA
Rfam family: Bacterial small subunit ribosomal RNA
Source: RNAcentral